GAAGAAUCAGAAUGGGGGUUGGAGGCUAAACGUUAGCCGGACUCGGCUAAGGUGAUGAAGGGGAAUGUCGUUGCUAAGUCAAGCUCGCAUAUGGUUGUUUUGAUGGUUAAAUACACCAAAUUAAGAACAAAAGUAAAAAUGAGUUCAUAGUUAUUGGUUAGUGGCGUCUUGCCAGCUUCUAAUACCCGCCUGUGUUAGCUUGUCCUGGCUAAUGUUCAGGUAAAUAAUGGCUAUUGCUGCGUUCAAAACCCUUCUCUUGUCAUGUGAGCGUUGAAUAGACACGACUCUUAUUAUGUUUGCUCAACCCUUGUCUAUGAGAAUAGCCAAUUGAAUUAAAUGUUAAACUUUCUUUACAAUCUGACAGACUUUAUUUAAAGGGGCCUGCCUAUGCUUCAACACCCAAACAUCUAAUCUGUUGAGGCACGAAACGGGCAAAUGGCAUCACAUGAGCAGCCAUGUCAAUACUAUGCUGUUAAAUAAAUCAGCACCAGAAACCUUUAAUGAACUGAAAGCAAAACGACGUUUUACCCUUAUCCACAACCAGCCCCUUAAGGAGGUGGAAAUAUCAAGUUGUAUUGAACUUGCCUGAAUAUGUUAUUGAAUAAAGUUAUUUUCUUGUUGUUCAUAUAAACUUAACAUUUGUUAAAUAAUUGUAACUUCCAAAAAAUGUGACCAAUUAAAAAUAACUUUUAAAUUGUAUUCUGAAUUGUAAAACCUUUUUAAAAGUUUUGUCCCAAAACCCCACAUUAUUGCAAUACAAAAAAAUGUUUUGCCAUGAAAACCUCCUCAGAUGACCUUUGAUAAAUGUUCUGUGCAUUUUUGUUUUUUUGUAUGUGUGUGUUUUUGCAUGGUUUGUUUUAUCUUAUCUGUUUAAUAUCAACAGUAUUUUUUUUAAAUACUUUUGGUAUCCAGUGUGCCCAGUAAAUGAGAAUUUCAUAGUCUUGGGGAAACAUAUUUACUUACUGGGCAUAUGAUUAAAAAAAGCGCUUUGAAUCUAAUUUUUUUUCUUUUUUCUUUUUGCUUUAGUGUUUUUUCUUUUUGCUUUAGUGUUUAUGGUACGUUAUUGUGUUACUUCUGCUUAUCCCUAUUGCUUAUUUAUCAAAUCUAUUGAUUGUUGGUAUGCAUACUUGGAGAAAUUCUCAAAACUGCAAUAAAAAUCUGUUUUAAGGAGACUGCGCAAAUCACAAGUCAACUGAUCUGAACACAAAUGGCACAUUACCAGAUGGUAACACAUCAACUUUAACAUCUAAUAAUCUUAUCUGAUAGAACACAAAAAAGAUAAAUGGCAUUACAGCACAUCAUUGCAGCUUGCUAAUUAGGUGCUGCCUGACUAAUGUUCCUUGGCUCCACUACCACAAUUGUCUUGUAUUUAAGUGGGGGGUUACUAUUAUGGACCACAGCCGUUUUUCUUUCCACAGAGCUGGAAUGCAUUGUUCAUUAUUGCCUGUUUUCUCCCACUGGCAACUACAUUGUGUUAGUGUUGGAUGGGUUCAUGGUGCACAAGUGGACACCAGAUAGUUAGCUGGAGAUCUCCACUGUAAUCCAGUGCAUUUUUGACAGCAGCCAGGCCUCAUGCUUGUGCUUUUUGAAUUCCAAUAAGAUAUUGCUGGGUGUCCUUGGAAUUCUUCUCUUGCAAUUGAAUAGCAAUGAGAUGCUUCUUUGUCUUGUGUAAUUGAAAGUUGAUGCUCUUUUCAUGACAUAAAAUAAAGGGCAAGUCUCUGUUUGAUAUAUUUCCAAAUUCUUCAUUUGACAUUUGCUGGGUUCAAUUUUGGUUUUUAGCAGUGAGGGGAUGUGGAGCGGUUUGUCCUUUUGCCAAUGUUGUCCUUAUGGAUCAUUAUCUUGUCGCUGCAAAACUAAGACCAUUAUUUAUUUUAUUGCAGGGUUUUUUAAUAUGCAGGUAAAUUAUCAUGUGUAUUUUAACUAAUUCCUGAACAUUUUUACAUUUCAUUUGCAUUUAUUUAAGUUCUGAUAUCUGUGUUUGGGACAUAAAUCAUUUUAGUAAUAAAAUGCCUCGAAGUUUC
Molecule: long non-coding RNA, 2021 nt
Organism: Poecilia latipinna (sailfin molly)
Lineage: Eukaryota; Metazoa; Chordata; Actinopteri; Cyprinodontiformes; Poeciliidae
Exons: 2
Source: RefSeq, a predicted model, not a curated record